GACGAACGCUGGCGGCGUGCCUAAUACAUGCAAGUUGAACGCUUCUUUCUUAUCGAACUUCGGUUCACCAAGAAAGAAGAGUAGCGAACGGGUGAGUAACACGUGGGUAACCUGCCCAUCAGUGGGGGAUAACACUUGGAAACAGGUGCUAAUACCGCAUAAUACUUUUUCUCUCAUGAGUGAAAGUUGAAAGGCGCUUUUGCGUCACUAAUGGAUGGACCCGCGGUGCAUUAGCUAGUUGGUAGGGUAACGGCCUACCAAGGCAACGAUGCAUAGCCGGCCUGAGAGGAGAUCGGCAACACUGGGACUGAGACCGGGCCCAGAGUCCUACGGGAGGCAGCAGUAGGGAAUCUUCGGCAAUGGACGAAAGUCUGACCGAGCAACGCCGCGUGAGUGAAGAAGGUUUUCGGAUCGUAAAACUCUGUUGUUAGAGAAGAACAAGGAUGAGAAGAGAAUGUUCAUCCCUUGACGGUAUCUAAACAGAAAGCCACGGCUAACUACGUGCCAGCCGCCGCGGUAA
Molecule: ribosomal RNA, 520 nt
Filed under: uncultured bacterium
Lineage: Bacteria
Description: partial 16S ribosomal RNA
Rfam family: Bacterial small subunit ribosomal RNA
Source: RNAcentral